UAACACGUAGUCAACAUGCCCAGGGGACGUGGAUAACCUCGGGAAACUGAGGAUAAACCGCGAUAAGUCACUGCUUCUGGAAUGGGCAAUGACUUAAAUCUAUAUGGCCCCUGGAUUGGACUGCGGCCGAUCAGGCUGUUGGUGAGGUAAUGGCCCACCAAACCUGUAACCGGUACGGGCUCUGAGAGGAGGAGCCCGGAGAUGGGCACUGAGACAAGGGCCCAGGCCCUAUGGGGCGCAGCAGGCGCGAAACCUCUGCAAUAGGCGAAAGCCUGACAGGGUUACUCUGAGUGAUUUCCGUUAAGGAGAUCUUUUGGCACCUCUAAAAAUGGUGCAGAAUAAGGGGUGGGCAAGUCUGGUGUCAGCCGCCGCGGUAAUACCAGCACCCCGAGUGGUCGGGACGUUUAUUGGGCCUAAAGCAUCCGUAGCCGGUUCUGCAAGUCUUCCGUUAAAUCCACCUGCUUAACAGAUGGGCUGCGGAAGAUACUAUAGAGCUAGGAGGCGGGAGAGGCAAGCGGUACUCGAUGGGUAGGGGUAAAAUCCGUUGAUCCAUUGAAGACCACCAGUGGCGAAGGCGGCUUGCCAGAACGCGCUCGACGGUGAGGGAUGAAAGCUGGGGGAGCAAACCGGAUUAGAUACCCGGGUAGUCCCAGCUGUAAACGAUGCAGACUCGGUGAUGAAUUGGCUUUAUGCCAAUUCAGUGCCGCAGGGAAGCCGUUAAGUUUGCCGCCUGGGGAGUACGGUCGCAAGACUGAAACUUAAAGGAAUUGGCGGGGGAGCACCACAAGGGGUGAAGCCUGCGGUUCAAUUGG
Molecule: ribosomal RNA, 812 nt
Filed under: uncultured archaeon
Lineage: Archaea
Description: bacterial SSU rRNA
Rfam family: Archaeal small subunit ribosomal RNA
Source: RNAcentral